Molecule: ribosomal RNA, 702 nt
Filed under: uncultured Rhizobium sp.
Lineage: Bacteria; Pseudomonadati; Pseudomonadota; Alphaproteobacteria; Hyphomicrobiales; Rhizobiaceae
Description: bacterial SSU rRNA
Rfam family: Bacterial small subunit ribosomal RNA
Source: RNAcentral
AGAGUUUGAUCCUGGNUNAGCCCCUNUAAAGGGGGGGGGNCUAACACAUGCAAGUCGAACGNCCNUAGUGNAGCAAUCCAUGAGUACAGUGGCGUACGGGUGAGUAACACGUGGGUGAUCUACCUUUUAGUGAGGAAUAACCGAGGGAAACUUCGGCUAAUACCGCAUAAGCCUGAGAAGGGAAAGUCGAAAGACGCUGAAAGAGGAGCCCGCGGCCGAUUAGCUAGUUGGUGAGGUAAGAGCCCACCAAGGCAGAGAUCGGUAGCCGGCCUGAGAGGGCACACGGCCACACUGGCACUGAAACACGGGCCAGACUCCUACGGGAGGCAGCAGUGGGGAAUCUUGCACAAUGGGGGAAACCCUGAUGCAGCGACGCCGCGUGAGCGAUGAAGCCCUUCGGGGUGUAAAGCUCUUUCGUCAGGGAAGAUAGUGACGGUACCUGGAGAAGCAGCUGCGGCUAACUACGUGCCAGCAGCCGCGGUAAUACGUAGGCAGCAAGCGUUGUUCGGAGUUACUGGGCGUAAAGGGUGUGUAGGCGGUUCUUUAAGUUUGCUGUGAAAUCUCCCGGCUUAACCGGGAGGGUGCGGUGAAUACUGAGGGACUAGAGUACGGGAGAGGAAAGUGGAAUUCCUGGUGUAGCGGUGAAAUGCGUAGAUAUCAGGAGGAACACCGGUGGUGUAGACGGCUUUCUGGACCGACACU